Molecule: long non-coding RNA, 1134 nt
Organism: Triticum urartu
Lineage: Eukaryota; Viridiplantae; Streptophyta; Magnoliopsida; Poales; Poaceae
Source: RefSeq, a predicted model, not a curated record
UCCUCCCCCGCGCGCCGCUCUCGGCGCUCGCUCGGUGACGGCUCCUCAAGCCACGCCGGCGCGGCGAGCCAGGGCGACACCCUGACGAGCCAGCCCCUUCCCCCUCCCCUCCCCUCUUUGUUUCCAAGAGAGAGACAGAGAGGAUCCUUGUUUUUCCUUUCCAGCGAGAGAAAGAGGAAGAGGAGCGCGGCAACUCUGCGCCGUGGCCAUCCUCCUCGCCGGUCGCGCGUCCUCCCUCUGCGGUGAGCGCGCCGCCGUCGAGGGAUUUGGCCGCGGUGGUUACCCCCACCCUUUUUUUCUUCCUUUCCUUUCCGGCGAGAAGUGGCUAGUUCCGGUGGUUCUUCUUCUGAAUGCCUCGGCUUGCCGAUGCGCGUCUGAAUUGAGAGGAACGGCGCAGCCUUGCGGCGGCGCGAUUACUUUGCCCUUUUGCCCCUCUUGUUCUUUUAGGGUUAGGGUUCAUGGGGACGGGGGCUCUUUUCUUUCUCCGAUUUCUUUUCUUUGUACCGAAAAUCUUAGCCUAUGUAUGGCUCUGAAACCAUUGUUAGAUCAUCUGGAUUGGGUAGGCUAGAGACUCCCGGUAAAACUACCUUCUCCUUUGGCUGACGAGCUCGAGCUAGAGGCCAUCGUGGUGAGAUGGUCACGACGAUGGCGAGAGGAAGAUGGAGGCGGUGGUGUGCUUUUCGUGAGUACCGCGCUAAUCCUAGAUCGAUAGGGAGUGUUGGUGGGGAUUAUGGCAGCGACAAACUUCGUCAGUCGUGCCCCGUCCCUCACCUUUGUUUAUAUAUGCACGGAUCAUAGGGGCCACCAACCAUAUGAGGGUUGGGCGCUCCCGAUCAGGGCGCGGAUCUAAAGGCCCGGUGGGCCGUUAGGCCUACACGGAGGAGAUCGACCUAACAAGUGUCGUCUAGAAGCUGGAAGCACGAAGCAGAGCAGCCACAUAAACACUACUGGUAGUGCUGUUCAGGUCAACUCGACGGCCUUGCUAGACGAGAGCAAACUCAAGCUGCAGUUCUGCGUCGAGAAGAUGUGUGCGGACAAAAUAUUUCUUUGCUACCGCUGCCUGGUACCGCCGCACAGGACGUGUUUUCAGAGACGUGAUGAGUGCAUGGACCACUGCCCUGUCUGUCAUUCCAA